Molecule: ribosomal RNA, 468 nt
Filed under: uncultured bacterium
Lineage: Bacteria
Description: partial 16S ribosomal RNA
Rfam family: Bacterial small subunit ribosomal RNA
Source: RNAcentral
GACGAACGCUGGCGGCGUGCUUAACACAUGCAAGUCGAACGGAAAGGCCCUGCUUUUGUGGGGUGCUCGAGUGGCGAACGGGUGAGUAACACGUGAGUAACCUGCCCUUGACUUUGGGAUAACUUCAGGAAACUGGGGCUAAUACCGGAUAUGAGCUCCUGCUGCAUGGUGGGGGUUGGAAAGUUUCGGCGGUUGGGGAUGGACUCGCGGCUUAUCAGCUUGUUUGUGGGGUAGUGGCUUACCAAGGCUUUGACGGGUAGCCGGCCUGAGAGGGUGACCGGCCACAUUGGGACUGAGAUACGGACCAGACUCCUACGGGAGGCAGCAGUGGGGAAUAUUGCACAAUGGGCGGAAGCCUGAUGCAGCAACGCCGCAUGCGGGAUGACGGCCUUCGGGUUGUAAACCGCUUUCGCCUGUGACGAAGCGUGAGUGACGGUAAUGGGUAAAGAAGCACCGGCUAACUACGUG